CCCGUAUCCGAAGGUGUUAGUGUUGUGAACUCGACGAGUAGGGCGGGACACGUGUUAUCCUGUCUGAAUAUGGGGGGACCAUCCUCCAAGGCUAAAUACUCCUGAUUGACCGAUAGUGAACCAGUACCGUGAGGGAAAGGCGAAAAGAACCCCGGCGAGGGGAGUGAAAUAGAACCUGAAACCGUGUACGUACAAGCAGUGGGAGCCUUGAUUUAUCAGGGUGACUGCGUACCUUUUGUAUAAUGGGUCAGCGACUUAUAUUCUGUAGCAAGGUUAACCGUAUAGGGGAGCCGUAGGGAAACCGAGUCUUAACUGGGCGAAUGAGUUGCAGGGUAUAGACCCGAAACCCGGUGAUCUAGCCAUGGGCAGGUUGAAGGUUGGGUAACACUAACUGGAGGACCGAACCGACUAAUGUUGAAAAAUUAGCGGAUGACUUGUGGCUGGGGGUGAAAGGCCAAUCAAACCGGGAGAUAGCUGGUUCUCCCCGAAAGCUAUUUAGGUAGCGCCUCGUGAACUCAUCUUCGGGGGUAGAGCACUGUUUCGACUAGGGGGUCAUCCCGACUUACCAACUCGAUGCAAACUACGAAUACCGAAGAAUGUUAUCACGGGAGACACACGGCGGGUGCUAACGUUCGUCGUGAAGAGGGAAACAACCCAGACCGCCAGCUAAGGUCCCAAAGUCAUAGUUAAGUGGGAAACGAAGUGGGAAGGCUCAGACAGCCAGGAUGUUGGCUUAGAAGCAGCCAUCAUUUAAAGAAAGCGUAAUAGCUCACUGGUCGAGUCGGCCUGCGCGGAAGAUGUAACGGGGCUAAACUAUGCACCGAAGCUGCGGCAGCGAUAUGUAAAUAUUGUUGGGUAGGGGAGCGUUCUGUAAGCCUGUGAAGGUGUACUGUGAGGUAUGCUGGAGGUAUCAGAAGUGCGAAUGCUGACAUAAGUAACGAUAAUGCGGGUGAAAAACCCGCACGCCGGAAGACCAAGGGUUCCUGUCCAACGUUAAUCGGGGCAGGGUGAGUCGACCCCUAAGGCGAGGCAGAAAUGCGUAGUCGAUGGGAAACGGGUUAAUAUUCCCGUACUGGUGAUAAUUGCGAUGGGGGGACGGAGAAGGCUAGGCUAUCCGGGCGACGGUUGUCCCGGUUUAAGAAUGUAGGCAGGUGAAUUAGGCAAAUCCGGUUCACUA
Molecule: ribosomal RNA, 1177 nt
Filed under: Providencia rettgeri
Lineage: Bacteria; Pseudomonadati; Pseudomonadota; Gammaproteobacteria; Enterobacterales; Morganellaceae
Description: partial 23S ribosomal RNA
Rfam family: Bacterial large subunit ribosomal RNA
Source: RNAcentral